RNAcentral lists this ribosomal RNA (546 nucleotides) under uncultured bacterium. RNAcentral describes it as "bacterial SSU rRNA". It matches the Rfam family "Bacterial small subunit ribosomal RNA", at positions 355 to 896 of the family's 1533-position model. The record is from RNAcentral.
UAGGGAAUCUUCGGCAAUGGGGGGAACCCUGACCGACCAACGCCGCGUGAGUGAAGAAGGUUUUCGGAUCGUAAAGCUCUGCUGUUAAGGAAGAACGAGUGUGAGAAUGGAAAGUUCAUACUGUGACGGUACUUAACCAGAAAGGGACGGCUAACUACGUGCCAGCAGCCGCGGUAAUACGUAGGUCCCGAGCGUUGUCCGGAUUUAUUGGGCGUAAAGCGAGCGCAGGCGGUUAGAUAAGUCUGAAGUUAAAGGCAGUGGCUCAACCAUUGUAGGCUUUGGAAACUGUUUAACUUGAGUGCAGAAGGGGAGAGUGGAAUUCCAUGUGUAGCGGUGAAAUGCGUAGAUAUAUGGAGGAACACCGGUGGCGAAAGCGGCUCUCUGGUCUGUAACUGACGCUGAGGCUCGAAAGCGUGGGGAGCGAACAGGAUUAGAUACCCUGGUAGUCCACGCCGUAAACGAUGAGUGCUUGUUAGGUCCUUUCCGGGACUUAGUGCCGCAGCUAACGCAUUAAGCACUCCGCCUGGGGAGUACGACCGCAAGUUG